Molecule: long non-coding RNA, 1125 nt
Filed under: Helianthus annuus (common sunflower)
Lineage: Eukaryota; Viridiplantae; Streptophyta; Magnoliopsida; Asterales; Asteraceae
Source: RNAcentral
UCUCAAACUCACAUCUUCAAAACAAAAAAUCUUCAAAACAAAAAAAUAACCAGAUCUCAAACUAUCAUCUUCAAAAAAAAAUAACCAGAUCUCAAACUAUCAUCUUCAAAAAAAAAAUAACCAGACGGUGGUGGGAGGUGCUUGCUCGGCAGCGGAGGACGGUGGUGGAAGGUGGUUGGUUGGCGACGGAAGACGGUGGUGGGGAGGUGGUUGGUGGGAGUUGGUCAGCGGCGGUGGUGAAAAUUUAACCGAAUCACUUCAUCUGAAACCCUAACGACAUCAAAACGGAGAAAACCGAAUUAUACGAAUUCGGCGACGGACCCGGAGCCAAAUCUGACGGUGGCGGAGACGGCGAUGGUGGCGAUUUUCAUGUGUAAAAACGAACAAAACCGUGGACUCAAGAGUUGAUGGCGAGGUUUUAUGUGUUUGAAGAACCUUUCAGUUAUGAUUGAAAAUGGUAAAGAAUUUUAUGUUCUUGGUUCGACGGUGGGUGGUGGAUGGCAGUGGUUGUUUGGUAGAGUCCGACGACUUUAGGUUUCGGCAUUUUGGAGGGAUCAAAUUAGGUACUGGAAAUCAAGCAAGAUUAUGAUACUGGAAAACAUGGCAUAACAAUGGUCACCUUUAAAUUAGUUUUGAUCAAGCUGAAGCAUUAGAGGAAGUUUAAGUUUUGUUGCGGUUUUGUUCGUUCUCUGUGGUGAUGGGUUUCAUGUGGUGGUCAAUUUUCAAGUGGUGAUGGGUUUCAAGUGGGUGGUCACUGAUUUAGGAGAAAAGAAUGGGGUGUAAGUUUAAGUUUUGAUGGGUUUCAUGUGGUGGUCGAUUUUCAAUUGGUGAUGGGUUUCAAGUGGGUGGUCACUCAAGGAUUUGGUUUUGUCAAUUGGUGAAGGUGUUCUUCUGAAGCCUCUUAAGAGUUUGGAUUGUUCAAUUGGUAAGCUAGUGUUCUUGGUGGUUUUUAACUUUUAAUCUUUUACAUAUUUUGAAUUUUUGAUUCGAAUGUAAAAGAACUAGACCAAGUUUGUUAUGGGUUUUCUAAAUUACUUGGUUUCAAGUUCAUAUAAUUUUGAUCUUUGUUGGAAACCCAUUUGGGAUGGUGUUUGUUUAAUUGAAUUUGAUAACUGUUUUUUUUUU